Molecule: long non-coding RNA, 545 nt
Filed under: Salvia miltiorrhiza (redroot sage)
Lineage: Eukaryota; Viridiplantae; Streptophyta; Magnoliopsida; Lamiales; Lamiaceae
Description: long non-coding RNA (SMIL_LNC011647)
Source: RNAcentral
CGACCCGAGCGCAUUAAUAUAUAACGUAGUUUUUAACAAAUCAAUAUAGAAUUGAGCUGGUGCAAUGGAAGAGGCGCCUACUUUUUCCUUUAUUCCAUGAGGUGCAGGGUUCGAAACCCUUUACACCCGAUUUUUUACGUUUUUCAGGUUUUAUUUUGCUGGUUUUAUUUCCUUUUUUCUUCUUUUUUUUUUACGUUUUUUUCAUGUUUCAUGUUUCCUGGGUUUUUUUUUUUGUAUUUUUUUAAAUAUAUUCUUUUUCAGUUUUUUUUUUCUUUUUAGCAUUUUUUUACUGCUUUUCUUUUGCAUUUUUUUUACUGUUUUUAUUUUGCAUUUUUUAUGUAUUUUCUUUAUUUUUCAUUUAUUUUUAAUUUUUAGUUUUUCUUUUGUAUUUUUUAUAUAUUUUUGUGAAAAAUGUAAUACUUUUAAAAUAUUACAUUUCUUCAUAACAAUGAUAUAAUUACUUUUUAUGACGACAAUAAUUACUUGAACAAAUAACUAAAAAUAUAAGUUCUCGUGAGUAAAAAUAACAAUUAUCGUAAACAAAU